GUGGGCGUGCCGGAUUGGUUAUCGGGCAUGACUAGAAAUCAUGUGGGCUUUGCCGACGCAGGUUCAAAUCCUGAUGCUCACG
Molecule: transfer RNA, 82 nt
Organism: Ipomoea nil (Japanese morning glory)
Lineage: Eukaryota; Viridiplantae; Streptophyta; Magnoliopsida; Solanales; Convolvulaceae
Rfam family: tRNA
About the family: Transfer RNA (tRNA) molecules are approximately 80 nucleotides in length. Their secondary structure includes four short double-helical elements and three loops (D, anti-codon, and T loops). Further hydrogen bonds mediate the characteristic L-shaped molecular structure. tRNAs have two regions of fundamental functional importance: the anti-codon, which is responsible for specific mRNA codon recognition, and the 3' end, to which the tRNAs corresponding amino acid is attached (by aminoacyl-tRNA synthetases). tRNAs cope with the degeneracy of the genetic code in two manners: having more than one tRNA (with a specific anti-codon) for a particular amino acid; and 'wobble' base-pairing, i.e. permitting non-standard base-pairing at the 3rd anti-codon position.
Source: Rfam